UUUAUAUUAUGUUGAAGCCUCAACUUCUCUUUUAAUUUUAGCUCUGGUGGACACUGUAACCAUGUGUUUGCUAUGUUAUAUUUGCUGGUUCAUUGGACAUUACUUGGUGUACGUGAGAUUGCUGCUGACAAGACAUGCACUAGUCUUCCUCAAGAAUGGCAUAAACCUCGACGUGAUGACAUAGAGGCACAGCCAGUUAUGAAAUGUGUUUUUGCAAAGUCUAGUAAAGACCGGGAUGACACAAGAAAGCGGAAACCAGUGACGUGUAAUUUGUAUGAUGCUACAAAAAAAGCUAAGAUCAGUACCACAGUAGUAACACAAGUUUGUGAGAAAUUAGGAAAUGAAAGCAAAGUCCCUCCUUUUUCAUAUCUGCUAAGAGAUCAAGGCAGUAACCAAAAUAUCAACACUGUGAUGGGCAAUGUACCACUUGGAGCCUACUUGGGGUAUCAGUUAUAUGAUCAGAAGAAUAAAUCUUAUUUCAACAUGGUGAGGUCUGAUGAGAAAAUAUUACCUCCAGAUAGACAACAUAAUGCAAUACGUCCCUUUCCAGAUAUACCUAUAGUCCUAGAUAACACAGAUACAUUCCCACUACAGAACAGCCCUUCUGCACUUCUUCUUUUUAACAAGAUCAGUGUAACCACUUCACAAGCCCACACAAUUAAAAAAUCAACAGUACAGCAAGUACUAAGUGCUGAUUGGAGAAAAGAAAGAAAAUUUUUGAUUAACAGCCUCUAACUUUGGAAGAGUUUUGUCCAGAAAGCGAGAGCCUACAGAGCCAUUUAUGAAUAACAUAUUUGAAUGCCCAGACAUAUCUAAUGUCCAGUCAGUAAGACAUGGCAAGCAAAACGAAACUUUAGCAAGAACAAUUUAUUGUCGCAAGAUGCAAAAGAAAGUGCACCGUCUCUGUUGUGUUUAUGAAAGUGGACUGGUAGUCAACCCAACAUACCCCUACCUAGGAGCCACCCCAGAUGGCAAGGUUUUUGAUCCAACAGAGGAAAACUGUUUUGGGCUUUUGGAAAUAAAAUGCCCAUAUACCUGGCGAAAUUCAAGUUUUCUUCAGGCAUGUCAGGAUAACAAGUUUUAUUGUCAAUGUGUUGAUGGCCUUGUACGACUUAAGAGAGAACAUAAUACUGGCUAUUAUGCCCAAGUACAGGGUCAACUGGCUUUAUCAGGUCUUAGCUGGUGUGACUUUGUUGUGUACUUGACUGGAUCAAGGAGCAUGAACGUUGAACGAAUAUACUUCAACUCUCUCUAUUGGAGGGACACAGUUCUCCCUAAAAUGAGAGAUUUCUAUGAAAAGCACUGCAUUAAGUACUUAAGCAAUCAUUUGUCAGUUUAAAUAAUGUUUUCCCAUUUCAGACCACAUACAGUUCCCCCAGAGUAUCAUUUCUUUGCUUGAUGGUUGCACAUGAGAAGACAUAUGAAUAUGGAUACACUUAACAAAGAAUCUUGGGAAUGACAUGUGCUCCGAAAUGGGACAACAUUACGCCCAAGCUGAUGGGAUCUAUUGUCAAGCAGUGAAAUGUAAUUCAAAUCCCAGUCACAUGAUCAAGUCACAUGAUCAAGUCAAAGUGUAUCAAAAGU
Exaiptasia diaphana is the source of this 1584-nucleotide RNA transcript. RefSeq lists it as uncharacterized. The record is from RefSeq and is a predicted model, not a curated record. Lineage: Eukaryota; Metazoa; Cnidaria; Anthozoa; Actiniaria; Aiptasiidae. The transcript has a single exon.